Molecule: long non-coding RNA, 296 nt
Filed under: Olea europaea (common olive)
Lineage: Eukaryota; Viridiplantae; Streptophyta; Magnoliopsida; Lamiales; Oleaceae
Description: long non-coding RNA (OEUR_LNC011903)
Source: RNAcentral
AAGAAUUCAAAGGCACAUCUACUAAAGAAGACUCAAAACAAACUAAAGCCAAGGGAAUACCUGGAGAACUCUUCUUCUUUUCCAACCAAGUCUUGAAUUUAAAACAAUCUUUCUGCCAGUGACCCUUCUUUUUACAGAACUUGCAUUGAUCAUUUUUCUUUAUAACUCAUUUGGGACCAGUAAAAUUUUUAUUCUGCUGACUUCGGUGGGACUUAUUACCCUUAUGAAACUUAGGUUUAUGAUUAUGAGAAGGCCCCUUAUUCUGUGAUGGCUGAAAAGCUAAUUGCACAGUUUCA